AGUGAACGCUGGCGGUAGGCCUAACACAUGCAAGUCGAACGGCAGCACAGUAAGAGCUUGCUCUUACGGGUGGCGAGUGGCGGACGGGUGAGGAAUACAUCGGAAUCUACUUUUUCGUGGGGGAUAACGUAGGGAAACUUACGCUAAUACCGCAUACGACCUACGGGUGAAAGCAGGGGAUCUUCGGACCUUGCGCGAUUGAAUGAGCCGAUGUCGGAUUAGCUAGUUGGCGGGGUAAAGGCCCACCAAGGCGACGAUCCGUAGCUGGUCUGAGAGGAUGAUCAGCCACAGUGGAACUGAGACACGGUCCCGACUCCUACGGGAGGCAGCAGUGGGGAAUAUUGGACAAUGGGCGCAAGCCUUAUCCAGCCAUACCGCGUGAGUGAAGAAGGCCUUCGGGUUGUAAAGCCCUUUUGUUGGGAAAGAAAAGCAGCAGGUUAAUACCCCGCUGUUCUGACGGUACCCAAAGAAUAAGCACCGGCUAACUUCGUG
RNAcentral lists this ribosomal RNA (492 nucleotides) under uncultured bacterium. Its description in RNAcentral is "partial 16S ribosomal RNA". It matches the Rfam family "Bacterial small subunit ribosomal RNA", at positions 29 to 507 of the family's 1533-position model. The record is from RNAcentral.